AUUGAACGCUGGCGGCAGGCCUAACACAUGCAAGUCGAGCGGAUGAAGGGAGCUUGCUCCUGGAUUCAGCGGCGGACGGGUGAGUAAUGCCUAGGAAUCUGCCUGGUAGUGGGGGAUAACGUCCGGAAACGGGCGCUAAUACCGCAUACGUCCUGAGGGAGAAAGUGGGGGAUCUUCGGACCUCACGCUAUCAGAUGAGCCUAGGUCGGAUUAGCUAGUUGGUGGGGUAAAGGCCUACCAAGGCGACGAUCCGUAACUGGUCUGAGAGGAUGAUCAGUCACACUGGAACUGAGACACGGUCCAGACUCCUACGGGAGGCAGCAGUGGGGAAUCUUGGACAAUGGGCGAAAGCCUGAUCCAGCCAUGCCGCGUGUGUGAAGAAGGUCUUCGGAUUGUAAAGCACUUUUAGUAGGGAAGAAGAGCAGUAAGUUAAUACCUUGCUGUUUUGACGUUACCAAAAGAAUAAGCACCGGCUAACUUCGUG
This 484-nucleotide ribosomal RNA is filed under the name uncultured bacterium. RNAcentral's name for it is "partial 16S ribosomal RNA". It matches the Rfam family "Bacterial small subunit ribosomal RNA", at positions 30 to 507 of the family's 1533-position model. The record is from RNAcentral.